UAAUAUAGAUAUAAAUUUUAAGAUUAAUUUCAUAUAGGUCCCUACAAAUAUAGUGAAUUAUAAAUAUAUUCCUAUAAAAUUUAAUUUUCAUAUGUUAUUUCUGUAAAAGUUCUAAUAUUUUCAAAUUUAUCCCUCUGGUUUAUUAUUGUUAAAACGCUGUUUAUUUUAUAAGUAAAAUAAUCUUUUUGUAAUCACAAAUAUGCCGCUCCAAUAAUCCCAACUAUUAAUUAAAGAGAGGUAAAAAGGACAAUUAACCAGAUUAACUAACUAAGGUUAAGUAUUUUACCUAUGGUUAACUAAUUUUUUCUAAUGGAUUCUAACAAUAGGAACAUAUUUGAAAAUAUCAUGACUUUUUCAGAGGCAAUAUAUGAAAGUUGAACUUUGUAGGAAUAUAUUUGUAAUUCACUAUAUUUAUAGGAACUUGUAUGAAAUUAAUCCUAAAUUUAAUAUUCUCCUAGCCUAUAUUUGUUUACUUGCUUAUCAAAAUUUAUUUAUUUUUUACU
RNAcentral lists this long non-coding RNA (503 nucleotides) under Ananas comosus (pineapple). Its description in RNAcentral is "long non-coding RNA (ACOM_LNC041462)". Lineage: Eukaryota; Viridiplantae; Streptophyta; Magnoliopsida; Poales; Bromeliaceae. The record is from RNAcentral.